RNAcentral lists this transfer RNA (73 nucleotides) under Myotis lucifugus (little brown bat). It matches the Rfam family "tRNA". Rfam says of the family: Transfer RNA (tRNA) molecules are approximately 80 nucleotides in length. Their secondary structure includes four short double-helical elements and three loops (D, anti-codon, and T loops). Lineage: Eukaryota; Metazoa; Chordata; Mammalia; Chiroptera; Vespertilionidae. The record is from Rfam by way of RNAcentral.
ACCGGUGUGGCUCAGUGGAUAGAGCAUUGGCCUGCGAACUCGAGAGUCCCAGGUUCGAUUCCGGUCAAAGGCA